RNAcentral lists this transfer RNA (76 nucleotides) under Sphingobacteriales bacterium CHB3. RNAcentral describes it as "tRNA-Thr". It matches the Rfam family "tRNA". From Rfam's summary of the family: Transfer RNA (tRNA) molecules are approximately 80 nucleotides in length. The record is from RNAcentral. Lineage: Bacteria; Pseudomonadati; Bacteroidota; Sphingobacteriia; Sphingobacteriales.
GCUGGCGUAGCUCAGUUGGUAGAGCAGCUGACUUGUAAUCAGCAGGUCACCAGUUCGACUCUGGUCGCCAGCUCAA